UCCGUUAAACUUCUGGCUGGUCUGCUGUUCUGCUUGUCUCUACUAGGAUCAUGGAGCUACCAUCCCUAUUAAUGGUUUGCCCAAGAUGUGCUUAUCUCUGAAGAAUCUACAAACCUUCAUAGCACCAGGACACUAUUGCCUUUGACUUUGAAGAUAAAGGGCAAAGGACAUGAAGAAGUCUUUCUCUGGGGCUUGAGCAGCGUUUUCCACCUGGAUCCUUUGUGCCUUCAUCAUCCUUUAUGUAACCUUUUGCUGGGAGAAUAUUCUAGCUAAAAAAACAGGUCUCUGAAAAGAAGCAAACUAAUUACAUAGUCUCUUUUAUGCUUGUGGCAUGGAAUCAUAAAUAGAAUUACACACCACACCGCUCUGAACGUUUGGUUUCCUCUCUGCCUUGCAGGCUAGGAGCUAAUUCUUACCUGUUGGAUCCACCUGCU
RNAcentral lists this long non-coding RNA (434 nucleotides) under Mustela putorius furo (domestic ferret). RNAcentral describes it as "lncRNA (ENSMPUG00000025285.1)". The record is from RNAcentral. Lineage: Eukaryota; Metazoa; Chordata; Mammalia; Carnivora; Mustelidae.